GAUGAACGCUGGCGGCGUGCCUAACACAUGCAAGUCGAGCGAUUUACUUCGGUAAAGAGCGGCGGACGGGUGAGUAACGCGUGGGUAACCUGCCCUGUACACACGGAUAACAUACCGAAAGGUAUGCUAAUACGAGAUAAUAUGCUUUUAUCGCAUGGUAGAAGUAUCAAAGCUCCGGCGGUACAGGAUGGACCCGCGUCUGAUUAGCUAGUUGGUAAGGUAACGGCUUACCAAGGCGACAAUCAGUAGCCGACCUGAGAGGGUGAUCGGCCACAUUGGAACUGAGACACGGUCCAAACUCCUACGGGAGGCAGCAGUGGGGAAUAUUGCACAAUGGGCGAAAGCCUGAUGCAGCAACGCCGCGUGAGCGAUGAAGGCCUUCGGGUCGUAAAGCUCUGUCCUCAAGGAAGAUAAUGACGGUACUUGAGGAGGAAGCCCCGGCUAACUACGUGCCAGCAGCCGCGGUAAUACGUAGGGGGCUAGCGUUAUCCGGAAUUACUGGGCGUAAAGGGUGCGUAGGUGGUUUCUUAAGUCAGAGGUGAAAGGCUACGGCUCAACCGUAGUAAGCCUUUGAAACUGGGAAACUUGAGUGCAGGAGAGGAGAGUGGAAUUCCUAGUGUAGCGGUGAAAUGCGUAGAUAUUAGGAGGAACACCAGUUGCGAAGGCGGCUCUCUGGACUGUGACUGACACUGAGGCACGAAAGCGUGGGGAGCAAACAGGAUUAGAUACCCUGGUAGUCCACGCCGUAAACGAUGAGUACUAGCUGUCGGAGGUUACCCCCUUCGGUGGCGCAGCUAACGCAUUAA
This 806-nucleotide ribosomal RNA is filed under the name uncultured bacterium. RNAcentral describes it as "bacterial SSU rRNA". It matches the Rfam family "Bacterial small subunit ribosomal RNA", at positions 28 to 863 of the family's 1533-position model. The record is from RNAcentral.